CGGAGGGUGCAAGCGUUAUCCGGAUUCACUGGGUUUAAAGGGUGCGUAGGUGGGUUGGUAAGUCAGUGGUGAAAUCCCCCGAGCUUAACUUGGGAACUGCCAUUGAUACUAUCAGUCUUGAAUAUUGUGGAGGUCAGCGGAAUAUGUCAUGUAGCGGUGAAAUGCUUAGAUAUGACAUAGAACACCAAUUGCGAAGGCAGCUGGCUACGCAUAUAUUGACACUGAGGCACGAAAGCGUGGGGAUCAAACAGGAUUAGAUACCCUGGUAGUCCACGCCCUAAACUAUGGAUACUCGACAUACGCGAUACACUGUGUGUGUCUGAGCGAAAGCAUUAAGUAUCCCACCUGGGAAGUACGAUCGCAAGAUUG
Molecule: ribosomal RNA, 369 nt
Filed under: uncultured organism
Description: bacterial SSU rRNA
Rfam family: Bacterial small subunit ribosomal RNA
Source: RNAcentral